GCUGGCCAAAAGAACAGGUGACUGAUGUCACAGAGGGCUUUGGAAAGCAUGGAACUGUGUGAUUCACAGAUGCUCAGAGGCUGGGUUGACAUCAGGAUCACACAUGGAAAAGUACUAAGGAAAUCAAUGGGAAUGGCCAGUUGGUGAUCAGAACUAAGACUACCAGUGAUCAAAGGAUGGCCCAGAGCAUCCUCGGAUGUUAGGAUUGGCUUAAAACAGGACACUCCUUCUGAGGCUGGAGAUAAAGACGGACACAGAUGAAGAGAAACAAGAAAGAACACAAAAAAUAGAGCAAAAUGUUAGAAUCUGAUCACAAAAAGGAAUAUCUACAGUCUACAUAAUUGGGAAAUUAGGUAAAAAUUGAAAUGUUUUGCCCUUAUUUUAAUGAAGAAUUAACCUUAUGCCCAGCUUGUUUGGGAGGCAUACAAGUCUGUAAGAAAAUUCCCUGCCAAGCCAGAGAAUGCAAACUCAGCCACUUGGAUUCCUUUCUUCCAGUGCAACACUGACCCAGGCACAGUUGGGAUCAUCUUCACAUCUGGUUUGUGGUCUGAGCUGGUUAAUGGUUAACCUGCAUCACUGAAGCUUAAGCUCACACUAGUAAUUGACUUGGGGGAAAAAUAGUUAGCAUUCAUUCAACAUCAGUGCUGGGAACAUCCCUGUCUGUCAUACAGAGUCCCAUCAGUGUUCUACAGGCUUGAUAUGUUUAUUAAUAGAAAUAAUAAAAGAAACACUGUCUGAAACAAAAACAUACCCGUCUUAGGACAUGAUGAAAAGACAUCUAAAACCCUAUGUUGCUUUGGACAGAACCAGUGCUCCUUGGCCCCAUCACCCACUGCAGCCGCUGGACUCAAGGCCAACGACACUUUCAUUUUUCCAAAAAUCAAAGCCUCCUACAAAGGAUGACUAUUUGUCAGACUUGAAAAUAUUUCCAAGAAUAUGCCAUGGGCUCAGAAGACAACUUAAAAAAAAAAGGAUUCCGGAAAUGUUUGGGGCAAUAGCCACAUCAAUGGAAGCAUCAAAGGAUUACAUCUAUCCCAAGGUCACUACUUUGAAGAGAGUAAAAUCCAUUUAUACUGUAAAUCUGAUUUUUUUAAAACUCAGCAGCAGCAACUAAUGUCACUCCUCUCCUGACUGUCAAUGUCACCUAACAUGGGAGUCAAUACACCACACAGCUAGAAGCAACGUUGAAGCCAGCGCUAUAAACGACACCACAUCCUUACAAAGAGUGUGCCAUUCAACACAGAGCCCCGCAGUGGCUGUGAAUUAUUGCAGAUCCUCGCAGCAUCCAGAGGGGGGAUUUACUUAGGCAUUUUGCACAGAAAAUGGAAACGUUGUUAAUCAAACACUGAACCCCAUGGGUCAGUAGAAAGGAAACACUAUUUUCACAGUGAGAGCGGAUCCAGCAGCUGCGAGAAGGACAAGACACCAGGAGGAAACGAGGGAAUGUCAGAGGAAUCAGAGAACUUGAUUGGCUUAGAGGGAGGCAUGCACCAAGACCAACUGCAUGAUUUCUGAAGCUGUUCACUCUCAAGUCCGGUAAAAAUCAAGAGAAAAGCCUACAAGUCCCCAACCCACUCUGAGGACAAGAGCCCCCUUGUCCAUCACCAGUUCAGCACAAACCUUGCA
Non-coding RNA from Odocoileus virginianus texanus, 1626 nucleotides. Lineage: Eukaryota; Metazoa; Chordata; Mammalia; Artiodactyla; Cervidae. The record is from RefSeq and is a predicted model, not a curated record.